Molecule: long non-coding RNA, 303 nt
Filed under: Struthio camelus australis
Lineage: Eukaryota; Metazoa; Chordata; Aves; Struthioniformes; Struthionidae
Description: lncRNA (ENSSCUG00000001678.1)
Source: RNAcentral
AAGUAUUUCUAUCUAAUUUCUUUCUAUCCAACAGCAUUACCAUCCUCUUCAAAAUCUCUGUCUCAGACGACUGCUCUUUGAUGAACUGAGGAUCUCAGAGAAGAGAGAAGUUGAAGGUUAUACUAUUUGCAUUUGAUCUGAAGAUGACAUAGAACUUCAGUUUGCAGCUGUAUCAUUCUUUUAAGACCUUAUGCCGUCAGAACCAAGACAUCUGUUCUCAUAUUUGAUGUCAAAAUGGCCCUAAGCCUCAUCUCCACAGGACCAGAUCGGCAGGCAUUAAAUUAUCAAAAAUCAGAUGGCUGA